Molecule: ribosomal RNA, 508 nt
Filed under: uncultured bacterium
Lineage: Bacteria
Description: partial 16S ribosomal RNA
Rfam family: Bacterial small subunit ribosomal RNA
Source: RNAcentral
ACUCAAAGGAAUUGACGGGGGCUCACACAAGCGGUGGAGCAUGUGGCUUAAUUCGAAGCAACGCGAAGAACCUUAUCCUGGGCUUGACAUGGUAGAAGUAAGAAACAGAAAUGUUUAUGACCGGUAUCCAAUCCGGAACUAUCACAGGUGCUGCAUGGCUGUCGUCAGCUCGUGCUGUGAAGUGUCGGGUUAAGUCCCAUAACGAGCGAAACCCUUAUCGUUAGUUGCUAACAUGUAAUGGUGAGCACUCUAACGAGACUGCCGGUGUUAAACCGGAGGAAGGUGGGGAUGACGUCAAGUCCUCAUGGCCUUUAUGCCCAGGGCUGCACACGUGCUACAAUGCCGAUGACAAACCGAAGCAAGACCGUAAGGUGGAGCAAAUCGGAGAAAAAUCGGCCCAGUUCAGAUUGAGGGCUGCAACUCGCCCUCAUGAAGUUGGAAUCGCUAGUAAUCGUAGAUCAGCUAUGCUACGGUGAAUGUGUUCCUGAGCCUUGUACACACCGCCCGU